Long non-coding RNA from Eucalyptus grandis, 1510 nucleotides. RefSeq lists it as uncharacterized. The transcript has 7 exons. NCBI's taxonomy places the organism in Eukaryota, Viridiplantae, Streptophyta, Magnoliopsida, Myrtales, Myrtaceae. The record is from RefSeq and is a predicted model, not a curated record.
UCUUCUCUCUGUUUUAGCAUGUACAGUCCAUGGAGCAAAGCUAGGGUUUCCGCUUGCAAAGAUGAAGAGGCGUGUACUUCUGUAGCGAACCCAUCGACAAUGAUUCCGUUGGAGUCCCGUAGUGUACCUGCAAUCGAGUUGGGCGCGUCUCCUUCCACCCACGAGUAGUCCACGUUUAGCUUCAGAUCUGGGUCUUCUAGAGCUGUCCAUUUCACCGGUAAGUUCACCAUUUCUAUUGUCUCUUUUCUCCUUCUUGGGUUCCACCACUGAUAAGUAUGAUUUUGUGCGAGGGAUGUUUCAAUUAUCACCUCUGUUGAGGAUUUCCUACCCCGAAAGACUUGGUUAUUCUUGUUUUUCCAGACUUGCCACAGUACCUCCGCAACUAAUUCUUCAACAGAAAAAGAAUAGAUGCUCGACUGUUUCAAGGUAUUUUGAACAGAGAGGGCAGAGCGGGUCAGGAUAUAAGGAGAGAAGAAGCGGGCUAUGAUCCGAUCCAACUGCUGGUAAAGCCAAAACUUCAGCAUUUGGAAAGGUCCAGCAACAGACUCUGCUCCUUUACAUCCCACAAUCUCCAUAUUCGACUGCAUGGGAGUUUCUGGGUACUUCUUCACAAUUGGAGGCAUGGUGCCCUAGUUUUCCACAAGAGUAGCAAAAGUUAGGGAGGCGCUCAUAUUUAAACUCGACCCACAAAUUUUUUUCACCCAUCAUCACUAGAGCCCUUGUUUUUAGAGGAGCUGACAGCCACAUCAGUGUAUACUUCUUCCAAAAUCCAUCCAGGGAGCAAGCCAACAAUAUGAAUCCAGAAAUCGUAGUGCGAGAAGUCAUAGCAGUGUUUGGGAAUGUCAGAAUCAGAACAUGGGAACUUCGUACCUGAUUUGGGGGUAUUUCUAAAUUCUGAUUGAAGGGAGCUCCAUCUAACAAAUGAAGAGUAACUUAGCCACUUUGAGGAGUAAGGCAGUCCGGUCUUCCAUUCAAAAACAAAGAUCGAGGGCUCAGAAGGAUGAGAUGAAAUGGAGUGUCAAGUGGCGAAUCAAUUAGAGGGGGUCUCAUUUUUAGGUUUUGGAUGAAGGGUUUUUGGUUUUGUGGGUUGUGGUUUUUUAUUUUCCUUGGGUAUUAUGGGAUGGGUUCACCAUUGUAGGAGGAAUGAAAGCUGGGUUUAGGGUUUAGAAGGUCGAUCACCCUUUGGGGAUAGGGUAAAGCUCCAUCUUCAGGAGAGAUUCCUCUACCGGUGUAGAGAGAUUUCCGCAAGAAAGAUGACAAGAUUCUAGGGUGGUGUGGUUGAUGGUUGCCUUUCCGUCUCUGAAUACGUUUUUGGGGACACUCUCUGGCUGCUAGUUACCCCCAUCUCUAUGUAUUUGCCGUUGUUUGGCCGGUUUUGUUUUGGUUCUUUUAUAGCUGUUAGUUAGGCUUCAUUGCCUUGUUGGCCUUGUGUUUCGACAGUUUGUAGUUUUUUCUUAGCACCCUUCCACUUUUGCGGACUAGGUUGUCUUAUGAGUGUAAGUUUUUGGUA